CUUAAAAGCUAGUCUGUAAGGCAGAGAGAGGUCGCCUCUUUGUAAAGGGUGGCCCCGGCCAGUCGGUUAGAUUCUCAAUGCUUGGCAUGAAAUAAAGCUUUGCUUGACCUUUGCUUUGUAUCAGUCUUGCUCCUUUAAUCAUGGACUCAUUAGUGGAGGGACCUUUCAUUUGGGGGCCCAUCCGGGAUUAAAUGAUGAGAACUGAGCCAGCAUCAGAAUUUCUGGGAAAAGCCUCUGGAGAUGAAUUCUGCCUUAAAGGAAAUUCAUAUGGGAGACUUUCAGGACAAAAACAAGUCUUUGAUAUCCUGGAACUGAAAUGGGACACCAUUGGGAACAUUGGUUAUUUUACCAAGGCUUUGACUGGAAUGUCAUAUUUGAAAAAGACUCAGAUAUAACCAGACAGUUUAAAAGAACUAAGGUUGACUUUAUAAAACCUGGAGCCGUAAAGGCCUUUGGAACUGUUGGCCUGAUACCUUGCUUACAGAGUUCCCAGCAGCCUCACCCCUCACCAGUCACUACAGGCAUUGGAGUCUGUCUUGGAAGGAGCCAGUGCAGGCAUCCAAACUGCCCACACUGGGACAGAGACGGAGGUGGAACCACAUCCUUACCAAACCGGGGAUUUGGUUUGGAUAUGCCACCACCAAGUGGGAAACUUGGAGCCUCGCUAGAAGGGACCGAUUGCUGUCAUCCUAACCACCCCCCAUGGCAAUGGAAGUUGAGGGCAUCAGGGCCUGGAUUCACACAGGUCACGUCAAAUGAGCUGAGGACGAGGACACCCCCAGAGAUGGAUGCCGCUGCCGAUGGACCCCGCCAAUUGUGGACUAAAGCUAAGACUCAAAAAAUAAUGAGUUCAUUAAGUUCAUUGUUGCUCCUAUUGUUAAGAUAUAGGUGGGAGAUAUAGACAAUUGCAAAAUAGAAGAAGGCUUGACAUACUAUUUCUAGAAAAGGGGGGCUCUGUGUAGCCCUAGGAAAGAAAUGCUGUUUCUGGGUAAAUCACACUGGAGUCAUUAAAGACAGUCUGGCAAACGAGGACAUAGAACUGGCUGAAAAGUCAAAGAUUUGACUAAUCUCCAAAGAAAAGGGGGGAAUGUAAGGGCCUAUUAGCCAGAUUGAUUCUAUCUUGGAUUAAACAGUCAUUUUGUUGUUUAUGCAGUAAAACUUAAACUGACCCUGCCCCCCCUCCAGGAGACUUACUUAAAAGAAAGCCUGGGAAACCAGUCCCAGGUGACAAAGCCCAAAUACAAGGGUGGGUCAGGCCAAGUGGAAGUAUCCAAUCAGUGGGGGCGCAUACUGUCUCCCUAGCUACCAAGGAGUGUGGGUCCCACCUUUUGGGCACCAAUUCUGACCAAGGUGAUAGGCUAGUUCAAAUAUCUACAAGGGUAAAUUGUAAUUCAAGUGGUCACUUAUGUGUGACCUAGCAUGACUGUGCAGCUUUCUCUGUGUGUUACAAUCUCAUUGGCCACCUGUGCGUGGCCAGGUCCACCCACAUAGCCUUUGCCCUUAAAAGCUAGUCUGUAAGGCAGAGAGAGGUCGCCUCUUUGUAAAGGGUGGCCCCGGCCAGUCGGUUAGAUUCUCAAUGCUUGGCAUGAAAUAAAGCUUUGCUUGACCUUUGCUUUGUAUCAGUCUUGCUCCUUUAAUCAUGGACCCAUUAGUGGGGGACCUUUCAGUAAUAAUUCCCCAUUCCCCUCCCCAGGCCCUGGAAACCUCUCUUCUUUCUGUGUUUUGAAUUCGC
Molecule: long non-coding RNA, 1732 nt
Organism: Mustela putorius furo (domestic ferret)
Lineage: Eukaryota; Metazoa; Chordata; Mammalia; Carnivora; Mustelidae
Source: Ensembl